Molecule: ribosomal RNA, 327 nt
Filed under: Geothelphusa albogilva
Lineage: Eukaryota; Metazoa; Arthropoda; Malacostraca; Decapoda; Potamidae
Description: partial 12S ribosomal RNA
Source: RNAcentral
GUAUAUCUUAAAUUUUAAGAAUUUGGCGGUAAUUUAGUCUUGUCAGAGGAACCUGUUUGAAAUUAAUUGAUACACCUCGUAAUAUCUUACUUAUUUUUAGUUUGUAUACCAUCAUUAUUAGAUAAUUUUUAAAGAAUAAAUUAUUGGAGUUGAAUUUAUUAAGUAAAUUAGAUCAAGGUGCAGCUUAUAAAUAAGUUUUAAAUGGGUUACAAUAAAUUUUAUUUAAACGGAGUGAGUGAGUUAGUUAAAUUUAGGAAGGAGGAUUUGAUAGUAAUAUAAGUUUAAUAAGCUUAUAUGAUAGUGGCUCUAAAUUAUGUACACAUCGCC